This 66-nucleotide transfer RNA is filed under the name Litobothrium nickoli. Its description in RNAcentral is "tRNA-Ser". The record is from RNAcentral. Lineage: Eukaryota; Metazoa; Platyhelminthes; Cestoda; Litobothriidea; Litobothriidae.
AAUGAUGAAGGAACGUUACCAAGUUACUGCUAAUAACUUGUCGUCAGUUAAUGCUGACUUCCUUUU